RNAcentral lists this ribosomal RNA (472 nucleotides) under uncultured bacterium. RNAcentral describes it as "SSU rRNA". It matches the Rfam family "Bacterial small subunit ribosomal RNA", at positions 27 to 518 of the family's 1533-position model. The record is from RNAcentral.
GGGACUAACGCUGGCGGCGUGCCUAACACAUGCAAGUCGAACGAGGGUAGCAAUACCCUAGUGGCAGACGGGUGAGUAACACGUGGUCAACCUACCUCUUAAUGGGGGAUAACUAGCCGAAAGGUUAGCUAAUACCGCAUACGAUCGUCGAGUGGCAUCAUACGACGAUGAAAGGAGCAAUCCGUUGAGAGAGGGGACUGCGUCCCAUUAGUUAGUUGGUGGGGUAAUGGCCUACCAAGACUCCGAUGGGUAGCUGGCUUGAGAGGGCGACCGGCCACGACUGGGACUGAGACACGGCCCAGACUCCUACGGGAGGCAGCAGUGGGGAAUCUUGCACAAUGGGCGAAAGCCUGAUGCAGCGACGCCGCGUGAGGGAUGACGGCCUUCGGGGUUGUAAACCUCUUUCGGCAGGGACGAAGCGCAAGUGACGGUACCUGCAGAAGAGCACCGGCUAACUCGUGCCAGCAGCCGC